RNAcentral lists this ribosomal RNA (253 nucleotides) under uncultured bacterium. RNAcentral describes it as "partial 16S ribosomal RNA". It matches the Rfam family "Bacterial small subunit ribosomal RNA", at positions 524 to 776 of the family's 1533-position model. The record is from RNAcentral.
UACGUAGGGUGCAAGCGUUAAUCGGAAUUACUGGGCGUAAAGCGUGCGCAGGCGGUUUUGCAAGACAGAUGUGAAAUCCCCGGGCUUAACCUGGGAACUGCAUUUGUGACUGGCGGGCUAGAGUAUGGCAGAGGGGGGUAGAAUUCCGCGUGUAGCAGUGAAAUGCGUAGAGAUGUGGAGGAAUACCGAUGGCGAAGGCAGCCCCCUGGGCCAAUACUGACGCUCAUGCACGAAAGCGUGGGGAGCAAACAGG